This 301-nucleotide ribosomal RNA is filed under the name uncultured bacterium. RNAcentral's name for it is "partial 16S ribosomal RNA". It matches the Rfam family "Bacterial small subunit ribosomal RNA", at positions 509 to 810 of the family's 1533-position model. The record is from RNAcentral.
CAGUAGCCGCGGUAAUACGUAGGUGGCAAGCGUUGUCCGGAAUUAUUGGGCGUAAAGCGCGCGCAGGCGGAUAGGUCAGUCUGUCUUAAAAGUUCGGGGCUUAACCCCGUGAUGGGAUGGAAACUGCCAAUCUAGAGUAUCGGAGAGGAAAGUGGAAUUCCUAGUGUAGCGGUGAAAUGCGUAGAUAUUAGGAAGAACACCAGUGGCGAAGGCGACUUUCUGGACGAAAACUGACGCUGAGGCGCGAAAGCCAGGGGAGCGAACGGGAUUAGAUACCCCUGUAGUCCAUGUCUCUUAUACU